CAAACUUGAGAGUUUGAUCCUGGCUCAGAAUGAACGCUGGCGGCAUGCCUAACACAUGCAAGUCGAACGAGACCUUCGGGUCUAGUGGCGCACGGGUGCGUAACGCGUGGGAAUCUGCCCUUGGGUUCGGAAUAACAGUUAGAAAUGACUGCUAAUACCGGAUGAUGUCGUAAGACCAAAGAUUUAUCGCCCAAGGAUGAGCCCGCGUAGGAUUAGCUAGUUGGUGAGGUAAAGGCUCACCAAGGCGACGAUCCUUAGCUGGUCUGAGAGGAUGAUCAGCCACACUGGGACUGAGACACGGCCCAGACUCCUACGGGAGGCAGCAGUGGGGAAUAUUGGACAAUG
RNAcentral lists this ribosomal RNA (345 nucleotides) under Sphingomonas sp. RNAcentral describes it as "bacterial SSU rRNA". It matches the Rfam family "Bacterial small subunit ribosomal RNA", at positions 1 to 373 of the family's 1533-position model. The record is from RNAcentral. Lineage: Bacteria; Pseudomonadati; Pseudomonadota; Alphaproteobacteria; Sphingomonadales; Sphingomonadaceae.